AUGUGGGCCAAGUUACUAAGGGUCGACGGUGGAUGCCUAGGGGCCAAGAGCCGAAGAAGGGCGUGGCAAGACUGCGAUAAGCCCCGGUGAGUUGUCUAGCAAACUUAGCCGGGGAUUCCCGAAUGGGGAAACCCACUUUGGAUCAUACCAAAGUACUCGCUCCGGCGAGAGGUAAGCGGGUGAACUGAAACAUCUAAGUAACCCGAGGAAAGUAAAUCAACCGAGACUCCCUGAGUAGUGGUGAACGAAAGGGGAAGAGCCCAAACCUGGCUGGCUUAGUGGUAUGAGAGCCUAUGUCUGUCAGGUGUUGUAACGCGCGUCCGCUCCAUUCUCAGUAGGGAGCAAGGAGUAAGAAAUCCGCCGCCUAGCCGAACGUUCCUGGAAAGGACGAUCAUAGAGGGUGAAAGUCCCGUAGGCGAAAGGCAGCGGACUCCUGAUGUGUCGUUGAGUACCACGGGACACGUGAAAUCUUGUGGGAAGCUGGGGAGACCACUCUCCAAGGCUAAGUACUCUUGGCCACCGAUAGUGAACCAGUACCGUGAGGGAAAGGUGAAAAGUACCCCAGAAGGGGAGUGAAAUAGACCUGAAACCGUUGACCUACAAGCCGUGGAAGGCCGUCUUAGACGGCUAACUGCGUGCCUAUUGAAGAAUGAGCCGGCGAGUUAAUCUUUGCAGCAAGGUUAAGGGAUACGAGUCCCGGAGCCGAAGCGAAAGCGAGUCCGAAUAGGGCGUCGAGCGGCCUUGAGCCGCGAUGUUGUUUGGAUUAGACCCGAAACCGGGUGAGCUACCCAUGGCCAGGCUGAAGCUCGAGUAAUGUCGAGUGAAGGGCCGAACCCGUGUCUGGUACAAAAGGCUGGGAUGAGCUGUGGGUAGAGGUGAAAUGCCAAUCGAACCCGGAGAUAGCUGGUUCUCCCCGAAAUGUAUUUAGGUACAGCCUCAAUGAUAGUCUGAGGGAGGUAGGGCACUGGAUGGGCUAGGGGGCGUGAGCCUACCAACCCCAACCAAACCACGAAUGCCCUUAGAUGUUUCUUGGGAGUGAGUCAGUGGGGGAUAAGCUCCAUUGGCGAAAGGGAAACAUCCCAGACCGCAGGCUAAGGUCCCUAAGUGUGAACUAAGUGUGAAAGGAAGUGGGAUUCCCAAAACAGCUAGGAGGUUGGCUUAGAAGCAGCCACCCUUUAAAGAGUGCGUAAUAGCUCACUAGUCGAGGGAUCCUGCGCCGAAAAUGUAACGGGGCUAAAGUUCACCACCGAAGCCGCGGAUCCGCAACUUGCGGAUGGUAGGGGAGCGUUGCCAGGGCAUCGAAGCCGAGAUGUGAAUCUCGGUGGAGCGCUGGGAAGUGAGAAUGCCGGCAUGAGUAGCGUUAAUUCUGGUAAGAAUCCAGAACGCCGAAAGUCUAAGGUUUCCUACGCAACGCUGAUCGUCGUAGGGUAAGUCGGGCCUAAGCCGUAGCGUACAGCGAAGGCGAUGGACAGCAGGUCAAAAUUCCUGCACCACCGAUUUCUUGUUAUAAAGCAGAGGAGGGACGCGGAAAGGUAGGCGCCGCGCGCGACUGGAUACCGCGCGUUUGGCCUUGAAGGCCAUGCCUGAGUAGGCAAAUCCGCUCCGGCGCACGAGCUGAGGGGGCUGAAAAUCUUAGGGCCAGAGCCCUGGGAAAUGCCGCUGAACCUAUACCGCCAAGAAAAGCUUCGCUGCAAGAGAAUUUGGUGUCCGUACCGCAAACCGACACUGGUAGACUGGGGUAAAAGUCCCGAGGCGUUCGAGUGAACCCUCGUUAAGGAAUUCGACAACUUGGCCCUGUAACUUUGGGAGAAAGGGUGCCCGUGGGGUGCAACCGCUUGCCGGUGAAGCCUUUGCGGGCCGCAGUAAAGAGGCCCAGGCGACUGUUUAUCAAAAACACAGGUCUCUGCAAAGCCGAAAGGCGAAGUAUAGGGGCUGACGCCUGCCCAGUGCCGGAAGGUUAAAAGGAGGGGUUCGGACGUAAGUCCAAAGCUCUGAAUUGAAGCCCCGGUGAACGGCGGCCGUAACUAUAACGGUCCUAAGGUAGCGAAAUCCCUUGUCGGGUAAGUUCCGACCCGCACGAAUGGCGUAACGACCUGGGCGUUGUCUCAACGAGGGGCUCGGUGAAAUUGCAAGACCCGUGAAGAUGCGGGUUACCCGUGGCAGGACAAAAAGACCCCGUGGAGCUUUACUGUAGCUUGGCAGUGGACUGGAAUUAUGAAUGUGUAGGAUAGGCGGGAGACUUUGAAGCUGCGACGCCAGUCGUGGUGGAGUCGUCCUUGAAAUACCGCUCUUUUAUCGUUUCGGCCCUAAUCCACCGAAAGUGGAGACAUUGCCAGGUGGGCAGUUUGACUGGGGCGGUCGCCUCCUAAAAGGUAACGGAGGCGCACAAAGGUUCCCUCAAGGUGGAUGGAAAUCACCUUUAGAGUGUAUUGGCAUAAGGGAGCUUGACUGUGAGACCUACAAGUCGAGCAGAGACGAAAGUCGGUCAAAGUGAUCCUACGGUUCCGUGUGGAAGGGCCGUGGCUUAACGGAUAAAAGCUACCCCGGGGAUAACAGGCUUAUCUCGCCCAAGAGUUCACAUCG
This 2583-nucleotide ribosomal RNA is filed under the name Dehalococcoidia bacterium. RNAcentral describes it as "partial 23S ribosomal RNA". It matches the Rfam family "Bacterial large subunit ribosomal RNA", at positions 1 to 2507 of the family's 2925-position model. Lineage: Bacteria; Bacillati; Chloroflexota; Dehalococcoidia. The record is from RNAcentral.